RNA transcript from Pelmatolapia mariae (spotted tilapia), 3947 nucleotides. RefSeq lists it as uncharacterized. The transcript has 6 exons. NCBI's taxonomy places the organism in Eukaryota, Metazoa, Chordata, Actinopteri, Cichliformes, Cichlidae. The record is from RefSeq and is a predicted model, not a curated record.
AAACUUGGGGCUGCUUGUGUUUAAAGCCGUACGCUGCUGCGAAGUCUGCAAAGGUUUGACCUGAAUACUGAGGCCCAUUAUCGGACAUGAGGUCCUCUGGGAUGCCAUGACGGGCAAAGAAAGAUUUCAGCUCAGUUUAAACCACAGUGAGUCUCACUGAGACCAACAGCAUCGUCCAGUCCUGUGAACUGGAGAUGGGCGGGGCCUCAGUAAGGAGGGAUUAGGACUCUGUUACCCAGAGUGCACUGCGAGAGUAAAAUCCCCAAAGAGGAUUAGUGAGGAUCAGCGAGACGACAUGCCGCUGAAGAGAGAAGGACCCAAGCCCCCCAGGCCCAGCCAGAACCCCAGCCCGGAGGUGGAGCACCCCAAGAACCCAGGGGCAGGCUGCCAGGCCGGUAACCAAGGGAACACCACCUAAGAGCCACAAAAGCCCCAUCCAGGUCAGGACCACAGCCCCCACGCCAAACCGCACAAGAAACCCACCCCAAGGGAACCCACACCCCCCCCAACACCCAACAGCAAUGGCCAGCAGGACAGCACCACAGCCCCACGAGGUGAUGGAGCCGAUUGAUGUGAGCAGUAUUGGUUCAUGUUCAGGUUCCUUUCAUGAUACUGAGCGCGCUGUGCAGGUGAUGGAGGCCUGUCGGGCUGGAGCUGCUGAUGGGGUCAAAGGUCGAGCAGAGAGGCUGCUCAACAUCUUCCAGAGUGACCUGUUCCAGGCCCUGCUGGUUUCUCAGUCAUCCAGGUCAUCGUAGUCAAAGGAGCUUGCAAAGAAAAGCGUCUGGACUUCUUUAAGUUGCUUGAAGACGUUUCACCUCUCAUCCGAGAAGCUUCUUCAGUUCUAAGGUCAAAUGGCCGAGAGUCCCAGAUUUAAACCCAGUGGGAGUAUCCCCCCAAGGAGGGACAAAGGACCCCCUGGUGAUCCUCUAAUCACAUGCGCCAAGGUGUGAAAGCGGGUGUGGGACCUAAUCAGCCAGGGUUUCAGGCUCUUUGAAGCUUCGCUGCAAAUGUGGAGGAAAAGUUUUAUCUGGAGCUCUGCAGCAGGUAUAAACUGAUAUUAAUCUUUAAUCUGUCAAAACUGAGAGCAAACAAAAGAACUGCUGUAUAAUGCCGUCCACCCACUUAGUUUAAUUGGUCACAUGACUGCAUCAUAUGACUAAAAUGCGUCGUUGUUUUCAAAGGGCUCAGUUUUUGCAGUCCAGAUUGCAACAUGAAAACUGCCUUUUCAAAAAGCUCAGUUUUCCUUGAGCAAAAACGCCGUCUCAGUGUGGAGGCCAAAACGGAGAGAAAAAGAAGCUUUUAGAAAACGUAUCAGUGUGGACAUGGCCUCCGUCCUCUGCUUCGUCUCUACACCUCUGAAACCUGCUGCUGUCUGUACACCUCAUGCUGUGUUUGCUGUUCUCUCAGAGGUGGAGGAGGGGGCGGAGUCUGUCCAGCUGCCUGAGGACACUCAGGUGGAGUGGUGGCACCGUCCUGAGAAGCCUGACAAACAGGAGCAGCAUCACAGAGUGAAAGAAAGACGAGCGUGUGAAAAGCGGACAGUUCAGCCUGACCCUUAAACGCCCCACAGACAGAUACAGCUGUGUGGCCUGGAGCCAGGGAAACAUCAUGGAUGGAGAAUCGUGCUGCUCACAGUUACAGCUGUUUGUUCACAUUCACUUGGUUCUCUUUCACUUAUUAUUUUAUUGUGUUUCUGUGUGAAGCUGUCGUGUCUCCUCUGCAGGGACGGUUCAGGUCCAGGAUCAAACAUCAGGAACAGAAGCAGCUCCAUUGAUCCGACUCCUCUGAUGGCUGAUCAAUCAGUUUGAUCUGUUUGAUUAUUGAUCAGUGAUGUCAGAGUGGAGUCAGUGUGAUGUUGUUGUUGUGUGUUUGAGACUUUUAGUGUCCAUGAAGGUCUCUGCUGCCGUAGAUCCUCUGAACUGUGACAGAGGUCUCACUCUGGAGGAAACUCUCAGCACUUCCCAGCAGCUCCUCCAUCAUGGAGGACGUUCCCUCACUGUAACAGGUGGAGGAGAGGAAGCACAGGUGGAUCCUCUGAGGAAGAGGAGCCUUCCUACAAACCACAUGAUCACAUGACCAGAGGGGCGUGGCCUUCAGUGGUAGUAAUAAAGGAACAGUCCACAUGUGAUACUUUGAAGGCUCCAACAAAGCAGACCUGUGAUCACUUUAACUCAGUAUGAUGGAUUGUUUGGAUUUGUCUUUGUUUCUCUGGCUUUUCUUGUGUGUCUGUGUGUCUUUGUGUGUUGGACAGAGUCAUGUGACCUGCCCAGGGACGACACAUGAGCAGCUCAAAUCUGGCAGGUUUCCAUCUUCUGUUUUUAUCCUGAUGUCCAUGAACAUGAACUCUGUCCCUGUCAAAUAAAUCCAGAUAAAAACAGCCGGUUACAUUAAAUCUGAUCCAGUGUUGUUCUUCUUCUGUGGUGUUUGUGAUGGAGCAGCUGCUCCUGAUGUGUGUGGAGAUGAAACCUGGGCUCCUGCAGCUUUCUUUGCUACAGAAAGUUACAUUUAAGAUGUUUAAUGUCACAUACAAUGAAGUUUAGGACUUAUUUAAACCAGCAUGAACUAACAGUUGUAUAAGGAAAGGGAAAUAAAUGAGACGUGAACACCAAGAAAUAAGUGAAAUGAUGAUGAAGAAUGCAGAACUAUAAUUUAACCAAAACUAGAUCCCCCAGAAACAUCCUCAGAAAUCCAAACCUUGUCUCUAAGACCCAGAAGUAACACAGUCCACACUAGACUGUGGAUCCACCACAGCCCUGCAGGACUGUUUGGACAAUAUGGUCUGGAGUGUAUUCACAGAAGGAACAGACUUGGAGGGCCACACAUCUGCUGUACUCUCAUACAUCUGCACUGAGAGUGUAACAACAACAAAGACAAAGUGUUCCCAAAGCAGAAGCCAUGGCUCAACAGUGAGGUGCAAGCUCUACUGAGAGCAGCGCCUUCAGAUCAGGAGACCAACAAACCUACAAAGAGGCGUCUGAUCUAAAGGCAUCAAAGAAUCCAAACGCAGAUUCAAACAGCGCAUCGAGGAACACUUUAACACAAACCACUCCAGAAACAUGUGGCAGGGAUCAAGACACUCACUGGCUACAAGGACAAUCGCAUGAAGCAGUUCUUCGCCCGCUUUGACCAACAAAACAGUGACACCAACACCUAUCCUGCGUUACAGAGAGGGACGACGCCCCCAUCCAGCUGGAGCAGCAUCAGGUCAGAGCCACACUGACAGAGUCUAUGCGAGGAAAGCAGCUGGUGCUGACGGUGCAGCCGGUGGAGUGCUUAAAGCAUGUGCAGACCAACUAGCAGAGGUUUCACCACCAUCAUGUUUACAGUAAGGAUCAGCUGUUAGCGCUGCGUCCCGCUGCAGUACUGCCGGCGGACAGACCCGACAUUCCCAGCGAGCUGAGGAGGAAAAGACGGGGGUGUCGUGCUGGGAAGGAGCGCCGUCGCCCGAGAAGGAGACGUUAUCGACCAUCUCUUCCUUCUGUAAUUAUUGGAAAUGUCAGAUCUUUGCCCAAUAAAAUGGAUGAGCUAACGUCGCUAACCUGGUCACAGAGGGAGUACCGGCAAUGUAGCAUCAUGAUGCUAACGGAGUCGUGGCUAACACCGCUAACUCCGGACACGAGUGUGACACUACCGGGAUUCCAGCUGCUGCGAGCGGACAGGACAAGAGACAGCGGUAAGAGGAAAGGAGGGGGACUGGCAGUGUUUGUGAAUGACAGAUGGUGUAACCCUGGGCACAUCACUGUGAAAGAACAACUCUGCAGCAGAGACAUUGAGCUGUUAGCUGUUAGCAUGCGUCCAUACUACCUGCCCCGGGAAUUCUCGCAUGUUAUCGCGAUAACAGCGUACGUCCCCCCCUCGGCCAACGCGGAUGCAGCCUGUGACACUCUCCACUCAGUGGUCAGCAGACUGCAAACACAAUCUCCGAGAGCCCUCCUCAUAAUAUCAGG